AAGGAUGGAGAGUGAGAGUGUAUCAUAGUUUCUAUCCACUUUCCUUUUCAUUUUCGGAGAGAGAGAAAGAGAGGCAGAGAAGAAAAGAAGAAAGGAGAAAAAGAGAAAGGGGAAGAAAAGAGGAGCUAGGGUUUGGAGGAGACAUUGAAGAUGUAAGGGGGAAAAUCCCUAUUAUUAUGGGUUCUGGAGUUUAGUAGCUCGUGCGUGAUCUAGCCGGAGAUUAUUCCGUGUUUGUUGGAGAUUAGGUAGUGAGUCGAUGCUCUGGUCAUGUAACACUGGGUAGAUUAGUCGUGUUGAACUCAUGUUUCUAUUUGGUUAUGUAUUAUGUUUAUGACUUGUGAAUCUGUUUAUUUGGCUAUUUGUUGUUUGAGAGGCCUUAAGCCAAAUAUUAUGAAUAUUAUGAUUAUGGUUUAUUAUAUGUUGAGAUGCUUAUUGAGAUAUGAUCGUGGUAUGAGACAUGAAUCAUUUUAUGAAAUA
Molecule: long non-coding RNA, 477 nt
Organism: Vicia villosa (hairy vetch)
Lineage: Eukaryota; Viridiplantae; Streptophyta; Magnoliopsida; Fabales; Fabaceae
Exons: 2
Source: RefSeq, a predicted model, not a curated record